GACGAACGCUGGCGGCGUGCUUAACACAUGCAAGUCGAACGGAAAGGCCCUGCUUUUGUGGGGUGCUCGAGUGGCGAACGGGUGAGUAACACGUGAGUAACCUGCCCUUGACUUUGGGAUAACUUCAGGAAACUGGGGCUACUACCGGAUAGCAGCUCCUGCUGCAUGGUGGGGGUUGGAAAGUUUCGGCGGUUGGGGAUGGACUCGCGGCUUAUCAGCUUGUUGGUGGGGUAGUGGCUUACCAAGGCUUUGACGGGUAGCCGGCCUGGGAGGGUGACCGGGCACAAUGGUACUGAGAUACGGCCCAGACGCCUACGGGGGGCAGCAGGGGGAAAUAUUGCACAGUGGUCGGAAGCCUGAUGCAGAGGCGCCGCGUGCGGGAUGACGGCCUUCGGGUUGUAAACCGCUUUCGCCUGUGACGAAGCGUGAGUGACGGUAAUGGGUAAAGAAGCACCGGCUAACUACGUG
RNAcentral lists this ribosomal RNA (468 nucleotides) under uncultured bacterium. RNAcentral describes it as "partial 16S ribosomal RNA". It matches the Rfam family "Bacterial small subunit ribosomal RNA", at positions 28 to 507 of the family's 1533-position model. The record is from RNAcentral.